GGCGUUAUAGCAUAAUUGGUAUUGCAGUAGUUUGCAAAACUUCUUAGUAUAGGUUCAACCCNUAUUAACGCAU
RNAcentral lists this transfer RNA (73 nucleotides) under Rezinkovia echinata. RNAcentral describes it as "tRNA-Cys". It matches the Rfam family "tRNA". Rfam says of the family: Transfer RNA (tRNA) molecules are approximately 80 nucleotides in length. Lineage: Eukaryota; Metazoa; Porifera; Demospongiae; Spongillida; Lubomirskiidae. The record is from RNAcentral.